UACGGAGGGUGCGAGCGUUGUCCGGAUUUACUGGGCGUAAAGCGCGCGUAGGCGGAACGUCAAGCGGGGCCGGAAAGCCCCCGGCUCAACCGGGGAAGAGGCCGUGAACUGGCGUUCUUGAGGGGGAGAGAGGAGAGCGGAAUUCCUGGUGGUAGCGGUGAAAUGCGCAGAUAUCAGGAGGAACACCGGUGGCGAAGGCGGUUCUCUGGGCCUGUACUGACGCUGAGGAGCGAAAGCGUGGGGAGCGAACAGGA
Molecule: ribosomal RNA, 254 nt
Filed under: uncultured bacterium
Lineage: Bacteria
Description: partial 16S ribosomal RNA
Rfam family: Bacterial small subunit ribosomal RNA
Source: RNAcentral